RNAcentral lists this ribosomal RNA (433 nucleotides) under uncultured bacterium. RNAcentral's name for it is "partial 16S ribosomal RNA". It matches the Rfam family "Bacterial small subunit ribosomal RNA", at positions 29 to 507 of the family's 1533-position model. The record is from RNAcentral.
AACGAACGCUGGCGGCAUGCCUAACACAUGCAAGUCGAACGAGACCUUCGGGUCUAGUGGCGCACGGGUGCGUAACGCGUGGGAACCUGCCCUUAGGUUCGGAAUAACUCCCCGAAAGGGGUUCUAAUACCGGAUAAUGUCUUCGGACCAAAGAUUUAUCGCCUUUGGAUGGGCCCGCGUUGGAUUAGCUAGUUGGUAGGGUAAAAGCCUACCACGGCGACGAUCCAUAGCUGGUCUGAGAGGAUGAUCAGCCACACUGGGACUGAGACACGGCCCAGACUCCUACGGGAGGCAGCAGUGGGGAAUAUUGGACAAUGGGCGAAAGCCUGAUCCAGCAAUGCCGCGUGAGUGAUGAAGGCCUUAGGGUUGUAAAGCUCUUUUACCCGGGAUGAUAAUGACAGUACCGGGAGAAUAAGCGCCGGCUAACUCCGUG